This 1909-nucleotide unclassified non-coding RNA is filed under the name uncultured fungus. Its description in RNAcentral is "sequence contains 18S rRNA gene, ITS1, 5.8S rRNA gene, ITS2, 28S rRNA gene". The stretch from base 692 to 1909 matches the Rfam family "Eukaryotic large subunit ribosomal RNA", at positions 1 to 961 of the family's 3401-position model. Lineage: Eukaryota; Fungi. The record is from RNAcentral.
GUAUGGAUCAUUACCGUUUUUGAUUGAUGAUUUUAUUCAAUCAUAAACAAAAUUUUAACUUCGCACAAUCUCAUGUAUAUAUAUAUACACAUAUGUAUGUAUGUAUGUAUGUGUGGUUGUGUCGCACCAUUAUGUAAAUAACAAGACAUAACAUGAAACUCUUUUCAUUGUUAUUGUCUUGUUUUAAACCUUUCCAUUCAACAAAUCAUUGUUGUUUGUCAUUGAAUAUGAAUCGAAUAUAUAUAUAUAUACAGAAUAAUAAAUAAUUCUGUACGGUGGAUCACUCGGCUCGUUAUUCGAUGAAGAGCGCAGCAAAGUGCGAGAAAGCAAUGCGAAUUGCAGGACACAUUGAGCAUGAAUAACUCGAACGCAUCUAGCAGCCAAGACAUUAGUCGAGGCUAAAUUUGCUUCAGUCUUGUUUACAUAACAUCAAAUUCAUUUAUUUUAAAAUGAAUGAAUUGCUGGCAAGUUCGAUAUAAUAUAUCUAGCUUGCAAUACAUAUAUAUAUAAAAUACUUCAUUAUAUUUUAUAUAAUGUUGUAUACGUAUAAAACGGAGUUAUACACAUACACAAAAAAUAAUUUUAUUGUGUAAACUGUCAUAACAUGAGAAAUCUUUAUCAUAUCCAUGUUAUUGAUAGAAGACAAUAGAAUAUAUGUGUGUAUAUAUAAAUGAAAUAUUAUUCAUUAUUUCAAGCUGAAGUCAAAUUAGAAUACUUGCUGAACUUAAGCAUAUUAAUAAGCAAAGGAAAAGAAAUCAACUGAGAUUGCCUUAGUAAUAGCGAAUGAACCGGCAAAAGCUCAUUGCUGAAGCGUGUUAAAUUCACUUUUGACAUGCAUUGUAGCAUUUGGGGUGACUAUUGUAUGGUACCUAUUCGUGUGAGUUCCUUUGAUCAGGGCUUUAACCAUAGAAGGUGCUAGUCCUAUAAUCACGAAUAGUUUUGUGCUGUACAUUGUACACCUUUCGAGUAGCGUAGUUUGAGAUUGCUACGCCAACGUGGGACGUAAACUUGUUCCAAAGCUAAAUAUUAUAACGAGACCGAUAGCGAACAAGUACCGUGAGGGAAAGUUGAAAAGCACUCUGAAGAGAGAGUUAAAUAGUACGUAAAACCGUACAGAAGAAAACGAAUGGCCGCAUUCAUCAGAUUACUUUGAAUUCAAUUCGAUCUCUAUAUGAUGGUAAUACAUGUCGAUUUGGAACUUCAACAGUCCAUCGAUUUGUUCUUGCCUAGAGUCGGAUGCAUUUUCAAAGUAUUAACUGAACCUGGAUCUAUAACAUUGAAAGCUAGUCGAAUCAGUCUAUUUUGGUAGCGAGUUUUACUCGUGUUAAAAAUAUGACUUGCAUAAAUAACAAAUUCGACUUGGCGUUAUAGGUAAAUAGACAUGUUCUUUGAUUUCAGUACUUUCUCUAGUACGGCAUGUCAUGAGCAUUGUUUGUGUCACAUGAGUAACUAAUAUCUAAACAAUAUUAGUUUUAUUCAUUGUCGAUGCCUAAUGUUUUGUGACUGUCAAUGAAAUCGGUAAGUCUACAGGAGUUUUGAAUGCCGAGUUAUUCGACCCGUCUUGAAACACGGUCUAAGGAGUUCACUGCAUGUGCAAGAGUUCGGCUGUAUGAAAAGCCUUGCUCGUAAUGAAAGUAAAGAACAUUCUUGCAAUGUUUUAAGUGUGAUUUCUGUCAUUUGGUGCAAAUCAUGACAAUGAACGCAACACUGACAGGUUCUAUUGCCGUUGGCAAAGAGCUUAGUAAGAGUAUAUGCAAUGAGACCCGAAAGAUGGUGAACUUAAUGUGUGUAGAAUGAAGCCAGGGGAAACCCUGGUGGAAGUUCGUAGCGGUUCUGACGUGCAAAUCGAUCGUCAAACAUGCAUUAAGGGGCGAAAGACUAAUCGAACCAUCUAGUAGCUGGUUCCGUC